This is a non-coding RNA of Bacteroides caccae CAG:21, 145 nucleotides long. The record is from Rfam. NCBI's taxonomy places the organism in Bacteria, Pseudomonadati, Bacteroidota, Bacteroidia, Bacteroidales, Bacteroidaceae.
CCGUUAAAUAACAAAUGACAAUGAGAACUAUAUUAGUAAAUACAUAUUGGUGGUGGCGUCCGUUACAACUCCGACAGUCGUAAGGGAGCAGCGCUCGUAUGUAUAUACCUCAUUAAAGAUAUAACAGAUUUGAAAGAGCCCUGUC